UGGGGAAUAUUGGACAAUGGGCGAAAGCCUGAUCCAGCCAUGCCGCGUGUGUGAAGAAGGUCUUCGGAUUGUAAAGCACUUUAAGUUGGGAGGAAGGGCAGUAAGUUAAUACCUUGCUGCUUUGACGUUACCGACAGAAUAAGCACCGGCUAACUCUGUGCCAGCAGCCGCGGUAAUACAGAGGGUGCAAGCGUUAAUCGGAAUUACUGGGCGUAAAGCGCGCGUAGGUGGUCUGUUAAGUUGGAUGUGAAAGCCCCGGGCUCAACCUGGGAACUGCAUCCAAAACUGGCAAGCUAGAGUACGGUAGAGGGUGGUGGAAUUUCCUGUGUAGCGGUGAAAUGCGUAGAUAUAGGAAGGAACACCAGUGGCGAAGGCGACCACCUGGACUGAUACUGACACUGAGGUGCGAAAGCGUGGGGAGCAAACA
This 427-nucleotide ribosomal RNA is filed under the name uncultured bacterium. Its description in RNAcentral is "partial 16S ribosomal RNA". It matches the Rfam family "Bacterial small subunit ribosomal RNA", at positions 355 to 774 of the family's 1533-position model. The record is from RNAcentral.